GUGGGCCCUCGAAGUCCACGCGGAGAGGGAUUCAGUCUCUCGGAGCGGGGGACCGUUUCGCAUGGACGCCACGGGGGCGCCGUGCGGGACGAGUUAUUCCGAGCCGGGGGACGCACUUCCCUCUCCCGAAGGACGCCGCAGCCUCUCGGCGUUCGGCAGUGAGGGACCGAAGGCAGGUGGCGUGGACGUCGGCCGAGAGCCGGCGCCCCGUGUCUGGCCCGGUCGCAGACGGCGCGAUCGCCGAGAGAGGGACCGAUCCCGCGACGCGGGACGAGCCGCUGCCUCGCCAUCUCCAGGAAGGAGCGGGGCGGAGCAUCAGGGACGUCGAGUGUUCCGAGCGUCACCGGGCGGUGUCGCCGGACUCGCGGUACCCGCUGGGUCUCCGGAACCGCGGCGCAGCGCACGCGGCUGGCGGCGAGUAGGUCGGUAACCCACCCGACCCGUCUUGAAACACGGACCAAGGAGUCUAACAUGUGCGCGAGUCAGUGGGACUCGAACAAGCCCACGGGCGGAACGAAAGCAAAGUCGCGUCGGGAUCUCCUAUUCCCCUCGGGGAGGAGCGCACCGACAGCCUGGGCGGCCCGUUUCCAACGGGCGUCCGGAGCCAGAGCGCACACGUUGGGACCCGAAAGAUGGUGAACUAUGCCCGGGCAGGUCGAAGUCAGAGGAAACUCUGGUGGAGGACCGCAGCGGUUCUGACGUGCAAAUCGAUCGUCGAACCUAGG
Molecule: ribosomal RNA, 725 nt
Filed under: Pholcus gomerae
Lineage: Eukaryota; Metazoa; Arthropoda; Arachnida; Araneae; Pholcidae
Description: partial large subunit ribosomal RNA
Rfam family: Eukaryotic large subunit ribosomal RNA (bases 457-725)
Source: RNAcentral